GGGGACAAGUUGGAACUUUUUUAGAGAAUGCAUGACAAAUUUUUUAAUACUCUGAGCCAACACAACUGGGGGAGCAUUCAUUAAGCUGUGAUGUAAAAGAGUUGAAAAAAAAAAAAUCCAUGCAUUUCACAGGUCAUAGUCUUCUAUAGUAAGUAGAAAAUAACAUGACUAACUUGCCUUUGGCUUCUUAUCUUCUUUCAAGGAUGUGACAUGCAAAAAUCUGGAAAAGGCCGGUAAACUAACGACCAGUUUAGGUUUUGAGC
RNAcentral lists this long non-coding RNA (263 nucleotides) under Elaeis guineensis (African oil palm). RNAcentral's name for it is "long non-coding RNA (EGUI_LNC026292)". Lineage: Eukaryota; Viridiplantae; Streptophyta; Magnoliopsida; Arecales; Arecaceae. The record is from RNAcentral.